AUCCAACCAACUGGAAUCCCACUGACAUAAAACUUGAAACACGCGAUCCACCGACACAUCCAUGCAGCAUUUCUAAGCAUCAAAAACUCCAAAAUCUCUGAAAGGACGGAGAAUACUCAAUCCAAACAAAAUUUAAACUCUAAAAUACUCUAGUUGGAACAAUUAGCCAUAAUUUUACGGCAGCCAUUCAACAAAUAACAUCAAACGACGCAUUAAGUAGAAAGAAAAAGAAGCUAAGUACAUACCUACAAAAAUCUAGGAAAAGCUCAGUGGGUUGCGUACUUGCGCUGCUGGAAAACCUUAGACAAAGCCCGGAGAUGGGAAUUCGCCGGGAAGCUGGUUGGGUUCGGAAAGGCCGUCAGUCAGCCUCGAUGAAGUGGUUGGGUUCGGAAAAGCUGGUUGGGUUGCCUAUGUGGAGCUGGCGAAAGUGGCGGAGAUGGAGCUAGAAGAAGCAGCGAUGGCAGUGGUGGGGAAUUGGGAGUUUGAGACUUGGGAGUUGGGAUUGGGACAGUCGGCAGAGAAAGCUUGGAGGUUGCUGAGGAGCUGGUAGAAGUGGUGGAGGUGGAGCUAGCAGAGAUGGCGGUGGCGGAAGUACGAAUUAGGAGUUUGGCAGUGCCAGUGGGACGGUCGG
This 631-nucleotide long non-coding RNA is filed under the name Coffea arabica (coffee). RNAcentral's name for it is "long non-coding RNA (CARA_LNC004641)". Lineage: Eukaryota; Viridiplantae; Streptophyta; Magnoliopsida; Gentianales; Rubiaceae. The record is from RNAcentral.